RNAcentral lists this ribosomal RNA (414 nucleotides) under Triticum aestivum (bread wheat). RNAcentral's name for it is "partial small subunit ribosomal RNA". Lineage: Eukaryota; Viridiplantae; Streptophyta; Magnoliopsida; Poales; Poaceae. The record is from RNAcentral.
AUGACAGCAUUAGAAAAAUCAGUCAGGUUGUUUGCGGAAUCCCCAGGGGAUAAUGUCAUUGUACCAAAAGUGGGCCUCAAUUUUGAUACAUUAGGCGAGGCGUACGAUUUCUACAAUCUGUACUCCUGGGAGAAGGGAUUCGGGAUUCGUUAUGGAAAGUGCAGGCUAAAUGUAAACUGGACGAAAUGUAUGCAAGAGAUAGUCUGCGGUUGCGCGGGAAAACCAAUAGUGGAGAAUACUCGAUCCUGCCGGUAUGAAUGCCCUGCCCUAAUCCGAUUGCUGCGAUGGAAGGACAAUGGGUGGUACAUAGCAGAGCACAGGGAGCAGCACAAAAUCAUGCCUUGUCCAGCACAUACGGUCAGACUUUGCACUGGCCGUCACAUAAACAUAUCAACGUCUACAGCAGGGAUCUAG